CUUGACACGGUUUUUUUGCAUGUCCAAUGUAUAUUGAGGGGGAACUGAAACUUGGAUACAACAGAAGUGCACUUCAUUUUCAUGCUAUUUUUUACAUUGUAAAGGAACAUAGGCCCCCAGCCCGCUACCACGCAAAACAUGCACAUACACUGUACUACAGUGGGGAUGGCAUCGACAGCAACCAAAACGAACCGAAGGCCGACGCCGGUGAACUGCAUGUUGGGGAAGGAGAGAGCUGCGAGGGGGUGCUCCGGUGAACCACCGGUGAUGUGUGUGAGCAACAGCGAAAACAGUAGCGAUUUGGGUACUGCACCAACGGUCCAACCGACCUACAACGAAGAGCAACCUGCACUGCUUGCUGCAUAAGCCAGCUGGAGAACCUCCUGUCCACACCAAGUAAACUGCAGCAACAAUCCAAAAAACUGUAGCAACAAUCCAACUGGAGAACCUCCUGCCAAGUAAACUGCAGCAACAAUCCAAAAAACUGUAGCAACAAUCCAACUGGAGAACCUCCUGCCGAAGUGCGUGUCGAUCGUCCUCAAGUGCUUGCGCACUGCACGGACGCCCCAACUCACCUGCAACGAUAGCAAGCUGCACUGCUUGCCGUCAGUGGAUAACAACAACGAAAAAAUUGGACCUGGGCAUGGUUUUUUGUACGUCACGGGAAGAGGACCGUCGGAGUCCAGUGGUGGCUACCCCGCCACCGGACCGCACUGCACACACGCCUGUCAGAGGACAGUGGCGCCCACCAAAACUGAACUGCAGUGCAUCCAAGGGGUGGAAUCUCGCUGUUGUUGACGUGUGUGGUGGCCACGGCCUCGACCACAGUCGGAGACCGUCGGAUCUCCUCGCCCCGUCGUAGGGAGAACAUCGCUACUGUUUCAUAGGGACGAGCCAAGUGCACUGCUCGCCCCCGCGGGCAGAACUGCACGCGCCCUUGCGCUAGCGAAUUGGUGCGACGGCUGCCGGGGAAAGCCACGCAAGGUAGGCUGCUGCAGAGAAUAAUCUGGGGAGGGAUUGAGCUCGUGAGGAGGGAGAAGGUCGCGCAGGGGGUAGGUAGUGGCCAUGUCGCGCGCCAUUCGGGCAGAUCCGGCCGCCUUGGAGGCGGAUCAGGGCUGGGGAAGGGAGGUACGCACGGGGCGGCGCAAGAACACCGGAGAACUGCAACUUACACACGGUGCUCCUCACGGCAACCUCCGUGUUGCUGCUCGGGUCGAGGACGAGGGGAGGAUCCGCUUCUUUUGCGGCAGCGCAAGAGCCCGUGUCGGUGGAUCCGGUGCUUUUGGUGGAAGGCCGCCGGUUGCGGGGCAUGCUAGAUCCGCGCGGGAUGGGGCGCGGAGGCCACCUGUAGCCGGUGCAGUGCCAUGGGGAGGUAUGCUCGGUAGCUGGGAGGGAGGAAGGUGGGGGCAAGGCGCGAGGUAGGUGGGGCGGCAGGGGGUUUNN
RNAcentral lists this long non-coding RNA (1443 nucleotides) under Triticum aestivum (bread wheat). RNAcentral describes it as "long non-coding RNA (TAES_LNC020626)". The record is from RNAcentral. Lineage: Eukaryota; Viridiplantae; Streptophyta; Magnoliopsida; Poales; Poaceae.